Molecule: long non-coding RNA, 846 nt
Filed under: Daucus carota (carrot)
Lineage: Eukaryota; Viridiplantae; Streptophyta; Magnoliopsida; Apiales; Apiaceae
Description: long non-coding RNA (DCAR_LNC002120)
Source: RNAcentral
UAUUUGGAAGAUGUAUAUUGUUUUGAGUGAAGAUAUGAAGAGUAAGUGUAGAGUAUGAGUUGUGUGGGAUUAGAAGAAGAGAUUUGUAGAUAGAGGUUGAUAGAUGAGAAGUGAAUGAUAGGUAUUGAUUUGAGGAUGAUAUAAAUGCAUGGUUCAUAGUAUGUUGACCAUGUCCGAUAUUUGGAAGAUGUAUAUUGUUUUGAGUGAAGAUAUGAAGAGUAAGUGUAGAGUAUGAGUUGUAUUGGAUUAGAAGGAGAGAUCGGUUGAUAGGUGAGAAGUGAAUGAUAGAGAGUACGUGGAAUUGAGUCCAGUUAUUAGAGAUGAUGUCUACGAGUAAGUUAGAAUGUUAAUUCUCGACGACUACGCUUUAAGUUAAGCGGGACAAGGUGGGCCCAUAACCCACAGGGCGACGAUUCUGAAAAUCGAAGAUAUGCUACGUGUUGUGCUAUGGACUUCAAAGGCAACUGGGUGAAACAUGAGAACGUGAACUACUUGGGCCAGACUUAUUACGAACUAUAACGUCUACGAUGACAUCUUACGAGGCUAUUACGAAUCAACAUCGAUCGAUUAUCGAGAACGUUGAAAAGAAGACAUAUAUCGAACAAUGAUUUAUUGAAGCAGAGCGAAAAUCUGAGAAGACCUUGGCAAUACCUCUCUUCAACUAAGAUUCUUUUGUAUUGUUUUUCUCAUCAGUGAGAUAUUAUCAUGAUAUCUUUUCUACAAAAGUUUUGAUAAAUGAGAUCUUCAAUUUCUCAAAUUCUAAGAUGACAUUGAUAUUGAUGAUUGGUAUGAAUUGGAAAACAAAGAUGUGUGAUAAAGGAUUGUUGUGAAGAGACAGUGAUUUUC